UAGGGAAUCUUCGGCAAUGGACGGAAGUCUGACCGAGCAACGCCGCGUGAGUGAAGAAGGUUUUCGGAUCGUAAAGCUCUGUUGUUAGAGAAGAACGUUGGUAGGAGUGGAAAAUCUACCAAGUGACGGUAACUAACCAGAAAGGGACGGCUAACUACGUGCCAGCAGCCGCGGUAAUACGUAGGUCCCGAGCGUUGUCCGGAUUUAUUGGGCGUAAAGCGAGCGCAGGCGGUUCUUUAAGUCUGAAGUUAAAGGCAGUGGCUUAACCAUUGUACGCUUUGGAAACUGGAGGAUUUGAGUGCAGAAGGGGAGAGUGGAAUUCCAUGUGUAGCGGUGAAAUGCGUAGAUAUAUGGAGGAACACCGGUGGCGAAAGCGGCUCUCUGGUCUGUAACUGACGCUGGGGCUCGAAAGCGUGGGGAGAAAACAGG
This 429-nucleotide ribosomal RNA is filed under the name Bacillota bacterium. RNAcentral describes it as "Firmicutes bacterium partial 16S ribosomal RNA". It matches the Rfam family "Bacterial small subunit ribosomal RNA", at positions 355 to 776 of the family's 1533-position model. The record is from RNAcentral. Lineage: Bacteria; Bacillati; Bacillota.